CCCCUCUCAGAGUCACACCUGGGGAGUUUCCAGUCCUCUACCAGUUUUGGCUAUGGGAGGGAGAGUCAAGCAGAGGCCUAUCCAUUCCAUUCCUAGUUUGGCUAGCGGCUAGGAAGUGGAAGGGAAUCUGCUACAAGU
Molecule: small nucleolar RNA, 138 nt
Organism: Tachyglossus aculeatus (Australian echidna)
Lineage: Eukaryota; Metazoa; Chordata; Mammalia; Monotremata; Tachyglossidae
Source: RefSeq, a predicted model, not a curated record